UGGGGAAUAUUGCACACUGGGGGAAACCCUGAUGCAGCGACGCCGCGUGAACGAAGAAGGUAUUCGUAUCGUAAAGUUCUGUCCUAUGGGAAGAUAAUGACAGUACCAUAGAAGAAAGCUCCGGCUAAAUACGUGCCAGCAGCCGCGGUAAUACGUAUGGAGCGAGCGUUGUCCGGAAUUAUUGGGCGUAAAGGGUACGCAGGCGGUUUAAUAAGUCGAAUGUUAAAGAUCGGGGCUCAACCCCGCAAAGCAUUGGAAACUGAUAAACUUGAGUAGUGGAGAGGAAAGUGGAAUUCCUAGUGUAGUGGUGAAAUACGUAGAUAUUAGGAGGAAUACCAGUAGCGAAGGCGACUUUCUGGACACAAACUGACGCUGAGGUACGAAAGCGUGGGGAGCAAACAGG
This 403-nucleotide ribosomal RNA is filed under the name bacterium. Its description in RNAcentral is "partial 16S ribosomal RNA". It matches the Rfam family "Bacterial small subunit ribosomal RNA", at positions 355 to 776 of the family's 1533-position model. The record is from RNAcentral.